Molecule: ribosomal RNA, 445 nt
Filed under: Flavobacterium sp. 01WB01.1-31
Lineage: Bacteria; Pseudomonadati; Bacteroidota; Flavobacteriia; Flavobacteriales; Flavobacteriaceae
Description: bacterial SSU rRNA
Rfam family: Bacterial small subunit ribosomal RNA
Source: RNAcentral
UGAGCUUGAUCCUGGCUCAGGAUGAACGCUAGCGGCAGGCUUAACACAUGCAAGUCGAGGGGUAGAAGUCUUCGGACUUUGAGACCGGCGCACGGGUGCGUAACGCGUAUGCCAUCUACCUUUUACAGAGGGAUAGCCCAGAGAAAUUUGGAUUAAUACCUCAUAGUAUAAUGACUCGGCAUCGAGAUAUUAUUAAAGUCACAACGGUAAAAGAUGAGCAUGCGUCCCAUUAGCUAGUUGGUAAGGUAACGGCUUACCAAGGCUACGAUGGGUAGGGGUCCUGAGAGGGAGAUCCCCCACACUGGUACUGAGACACGGACCAGACUCCUACGGGAGGCAGCAGUGAGGAAUAUUGGACAAUGGGCGCAAGCCUGAUCCAGCCAUGCCGCGUGCAGGAUGACGGUCCUAUGGACUUGUAAACUGCUUUUAUACGAGAAGAAACACU